Molecule: transfer RNA, 71 nt
Filed under: Anguilla anguilla (European eel)
Lineage: Eukaryota; Metazoa; Chordata; Actinopteri; Anguilliformes; Anguillidae
Rfam family: tRNA
About the family: Transfer RNA (tRNA) molecules are approximately 80 nucleotides in length. Their secondary structure includes four short double-helical elements and three loops (D, anti-codon, and T loops). Further hydrogen bonds mediate the characteristic L-shaped molecular structure. tRNAs have two regions of fundamental functional importance: the anti-codon, which is responsible for specific mRNA codon recognition, and the 3' end, to which the tRNAs corresponding amino acid is attached (by aminoacyl-tRNA synthetases). tRNAs cope with the degeneracy of the genetic code in two manners: having more than one tRNA (with a specific anti-codon) for a particular amino acid; and 'wobble' base-pairing, i.e. permitting non-standard base-pairing at the 3rd anti-codon position.
Source: Rfam by way of RNAcentral
GCAUUGGUGGCUCAGUGGUAGAGCUCCCGCCUGCCACGCUGGUGGCUCGGGUUCGUAUCCCGGCCAAUGCC